This 253-nucleotide ribosomal RNA is filed under the name uncultured bacterium. Its description in RNAcentral is "partial 16S ribosomal RNA". It matches the Rfam family "Bacterial small subunit ribosomal RNA", at positions 524 to 776 of the family's 1533-position model. The record is from RNAcentral.
UACAGAGGUCCCAAGCGUUGUUCGGAUUCAUUGGGCGUAAAGGGUGCGUAGGCGGCGCGGUAAGUCGGGUGUGAAAUCUCGGAGCUUAACUCCGAAACUGCAUUCGAUACUGCCGUGCUUGAGGACUGGAGAGGAGACUGGAAUUUACGGUGUAGCGGUGAAAUGCGUAGAUAUCGUAAGGAAGACCAGUGGCGAAGGCGGGUCUCUGGACAAUUCCUGACGCUGAGGCACGAAGGCCAGGGGAGCAAACGGG